RNAcentral lists this ribosomal RNA (301 nucleotides) under uncultured bacterium. Its description in RNAcentral is "partial 16S ribosomal RNA". It matches the Rfam family "Bacterial small subunit ribosomal RNA", at positions 509 to 807 of the family's 1533-position model. The record is from RNAcentral.
CAGUCGCCACGGGAAUACAGAGGGUGCGAGCGUUAAUCGGAUUUACUGGGCGUAAAGCGUGCGUAGGCGGCUUCUUAAGUCGGAUGUGAAAUCCCCGGGCUUAACCUGGGAACUGCAUUUGAAACUGGCAGGCUAGAGUCUUGUAGAGGGGGGUAGAAUUCCAGGUGUAGCGGUGAAAUGCGUAGAGAUCUGGAGGAAUACCGGUGGCGAAGGCGGCCCCCUGGACAAAGACUGACGCUCAGGUGCGAAAGCGUGGGGAGCAAACAGGAUUAGAUACCCCUGUAGUCCCUGUCUCUUAUAC